This 701-nucleotide ribosomal RNA is filed under the name Pseudomonas aeruginosa. RNAcentral describes it as "bacterial SSU rRNA". It matches the Rfam family "Bacterial small subunit ribosomal RNA", at positions 21 to 717 of the family's 1533-position model. The record is from RNAcentral. Lineage: Bacteria; Pseudomonadati; Pseudomonadota; Gammaproteobacteria; Pseudomonadales; Pseudomonadaceae.
AGCUCAGAUUGAACGCUGGCGGCAGGCCUAACACAUGCAAGUCGAGCGGAUGAAGGGAGCUUGCUCCUGGAUUCAGCGGCGGACGGGUGAGUAAUGCCUAGGAAUCUGCCUGGUAGUGGGGGAUAACGUCCGGAAACGGGCGCUAAUACCGCAUACGUCCUGAGGGAGAAAGUGGGGGAUCUUCGGACCUCACGCUAUCAGAUGAGCCUAGGUCGGAUUAGCUAGUUGGUGGGGUAAAGGCCUACCAAGGCGACGAUCCGUAACUGGUCUGAGAGGAUGAUCAGUCACACUGGAACUGAGACACGGUCCAGACUCCUACGGGAGGCAGCAGUGGGGAAUAUUGGACAAUGGGCGAAAGCCUGAUCCAGCCAUGCCGCGUGUGUGAAGAAGGUCUUCGGAUUGUAAAGCACUUUAAGUUGGGAGGAAGGGCAGUAAGUUAAUACCUUGCUGUUUUGACGUUACCAACAGAAUAAGCACCGGCUAACUUCGUGCCAGCAGCCGCGGUAAUACGAAGGGUGCAAGCGUUAAUCGGAAUUACUGGGCGUAAAGCGCGCGUAGGUGGUUCAGCAAGUUGGAUGUGAAAUCCCCGGGCUCAACCUGGGAACUGCAUCCAAAACUACUGAGCUAGAGUACGGUAGAGGGUGGUGGAAUUUCCUGUGUAGCGGUGAAAUGCGUAGAUAUAGGAAGGAACACCAGUGGCG